GGGUGAGUUCCUUCUCAUGUUAGUUUUUCUCCUCUCCAUUUAAUUGUAUAUGCUCAAGUGGUCUUGUUAUUUAUGCUUGAACCUGGAGGCAAUCUCAGAGAAUCGCUUCAUGGAUUCUUCUGAUGGACAGACCAUUUUGUUUCUUUGAUUUUUGAUUCUGCUAGAACAUCAAUAUUGAUAUAUGUAAAUAUGUUCAAAUUAUAUUGAUCUGCCUCAAUAAUUGAAUCCUUGCAUAUGCAUGUUAUUCAGUAUUAUGUAACUGUUGGUUCUAGUGGAAACAUUUCAGAUAAUUGAAUUAAGUAUAAAUGCAUUACGUUGCUAUAAUUUACUGAUUUACUGUUUGUUGACGGUGAUGAAUAGAAGCCC
This 366-nucleotide unclassified non-coding RNA is filed under the name Hevea brasiliensis (rubber tree). The record is from RNAcentral. Lineage: Eukaryota; Viridiplantae; Streptophyta; Magnoliopsida; Malpighiales; Euphorbiaceae.